This is a non-coding RNA of Cicer arietinum (chickpea), 3217 nucleotides long. NCBI's taxonomy places the organism in Eukaryota, Viridiplantae, Streptophyta, Magnoliopsida, Fabales, Fabaceae. The record is from RefSeq and is a predicted model, not a curated record.
CUAAGUUUUAGUGACAGAUAAUACUGUAGGAAUAGACUAAUUCUUUAUUUAUAUUUAUCUUGGUUUUAGUGACAGUCAUUAUUGUAGGUAGAAAUCAAAAACAUGUAGUGACAAUCCUCAGAACAUGUAGUGACAGUCUUCAAAGUGUAGCAGGACGCCCCCUUAAAGUUGACACUAAAUUUGAGUGUCACUCAAAGUAUUAUUGACUUUUACCUACAGUUUUUAACUUUUAGUGAAAUAUUUUGUGUGUCACGAUAGGUCAAUUUUUUUGUAGUGAAAUCUCUUCCAAGAGUUAAGUUUGAAAGGUGUAAAAGGCUACUUGGAGUGUCCAUCAAAAAUCUUAAGGAGUGUUAAAGCAUGAGAUUUGAGAUGUUCACCAACAAUAUUUUGUGAUAUUUUGUUUUAUCUUUAGUUUUAUUUUGCUGUGCAAGUUACCUCUGCAUGAAGUAUGGUGACCCAUACUUGUUGGAGUGGUUUAAGACUUUGUAAUCAUGGUUAGGUGACAGACCACCAUGCUGUCCUACUGUCUUUUUCUUUUUUGUUUUUAUAUAUAUUGUAUUAGAAACAAUAUUUUGGAGUGAAUGAAAGUGAUCUAUGUUUUCUGAAUUUAAAAGAGACUAACAAUAUAAUGUGUUAGAUUUGGAGGCAUAUAUGUUGGAAAAAUAAAUAUUUUUUCAUCUGCAUGGAGACAUAAUGCAAAGCAGUAUGUAUCAAUUUGUAGUUUAUUUUGUUGGAGUUGUUCAAACCUCAAGAACCUUUUUCUCAUCCACAUCUUUUUCUGGUCUAGUUCUCCGUGCAUUUCUUCUUUAAUGCUUUGCAGUGUUUCAACUGAGAGAGGUACUGUGGGGUGCAACAUUGACUGGGUUUUGUCUUCAGGAACACCUGUCAUUAAACAAAUGAGAUAUUACAUGUAUUUGUUGAUUGUGGAGCUUUGGUCACUAAAUAUUUCUGUCGUUUCUUCUUCCUCAUGUGUUUCCUUCUCAGAGGUUUUUUCAGUCAUCUCAACUUGCUUGAUUACUUCCAACGUUGGUAAUAUUAACGUGGUUUUGUCUUCAAGCUCACCUGCAAUUAUACAUAUGAGUUGUUUUUUGCUACUAUACCCACAAAUCUGGCUUAAUUUUUUCAGUUUUUGUACAUGUGAAAGAUAUCCUUUCUCGAAAACUGAAAAUUUCCAUUGCCACACCAAGCUACUGAUAAGGGAAAUGAGUUAUUGCAGUAACAUACAUUACUUCCAUUUAGAACAGAUUAUUCCUUGAGAAAUUUAAACUUGGCCUUAUCACAGAUAAAAAUUACUGAGUGAAGGGAUUUGAAGUAAUUCCUCAUUGUGUGUAAAAAUGAAGUUCAUUAAAAACUUAACAGAGCUUUGCCGAUUUUUUUAGACUUACUUUCUUUUUCCGUUUUUGGUAACUGUGUAUCAGUUUCUUCUCCUGUCUCUUUUGCUCUUUCAUGUUUUAUUUUCGUACUAUCCACAAUCAGUAAUUUCUCUCUGGCGUGUAACACUGAAACGUUUUCAUGUUCUCCAGCAUUAUUACUUUGGAUUGUUUCUGCAGCAUCCAGUCCUAAAUUUUGAUGGUCUGUGACCAGGGUCUCCUGGCUCUCUGUUUGAUAUUGAGGUUGACCUUUCUUUUCAUUUUCCAUGCUAGUGUUGGCUGUUGCUUCACGUACAUCCAAUCCCUAUUUUAACAGAUACUACAUCAAAAGUUGAACAUAUUGCACAUAAAGAAUAUAAAAGUUCUUCUAUUUUCUUGAAAACGUUAUUAAGAUGUUCAUAUGUUGAACUGGACGCCGUUGUUUGUUAUUUUCUAUUUUAUUUUUGGAGUCUUCUCAAACCUCUAGUGCUUUCAUGUUCUCCUCAUAAUUAUUGUCUGAUCUCUUUCUCUCAUGCGUAUCUUUCAUAACUGAUUCAGCCUCCGCGUGUAUUUCUUCUUGAACAUUUUUCUCUACUGUCUCAAGUUGGAUUGAUGCUAUAAUGGGCAAAGUUGACAUGGCUUUAUCAUCAGGCACACCUGUCAUUAUACAAAUCAGAUGUAAAAAUAUUUCUUCCUUGAAAGAUUAAUUAUGGUAGCUGUUUUUUGGUACAUAUGUAAGGUCUUUUCAAAAGUAAACACAAGGUUCCUUAGGUUUGUGAAAGAGGUUUUCUGUUGUCACAAUUUUUUUUUAAAAAAGCAUCUUGUUUUCACCUAAUAAAGAGCUACCUAAGGUUUAACGAUGUUUGGAGCACAUGUUUAUGAUACUCGUCUACUUCUUGUUCCAAGGGACUUAAUAAAUAAUGUGGGAUUAUUUUUACUGUUUUGGAAACUUAAGUUUUAUGAAUUUGGCUUAUUGAUUUCAAUUUCGAGAUGAAAUAGACAUAAAGUCACGGUGUCCGACAAUUCAAAAAAUUAAUUUUUUCCCCAGGUUUUUGCAACUAAACAUCAAUAGCUCCUUCCAUACCUUCUGAUCCAUUUAGAAUGAUAAUACUAUCACUAUUCUUGAUCUUUAAAUUCUCAUUAGAGCGUGACUCUGAAAUCUUUUCCAGUUCUUUUGUCUCAUAAUCCGAUUUUGUGCUUCUUUCUUUCGUCAUCAUUUCUUUUGAAUUGAUAUGCUUUGAAAUCACUUUCUCCAUGCUUUGUGUUUCAGAUUGAUGCUCAGUUUGUUCUUUUUCGGUGCAGACCUCAUCCAUAAGUGUUUGAUGGGGCUUCAUCUUUAUGUCUUCAAUGACAUCAACUUUGCCAAAUGCCCACAUUGGCAAUGUUGUUUGAGCUUCAAUAUCCUCAGGGAAUUUAAUUAUUCAGAAAAAUAUUUCAGCUCAACAUAGGUGGUAUUAUGCACGGUCGAUGCAUCAAGUUAAACAGGCUCUUGCAUGAGAGGGCAUGAUAGCAAUUUAAAAACUAAUUAUUUGUCUCUUGUCAUAAAAGCUUAAGUUUUAGAUCGUUACUACAUUAUAACAGUUUUACAUCUAACAGUAUGAUUUGCUUCCCAUUCCUAAUGUCUAUAUUCGUAUCAGUUGGACUCUGGAAGCUUUUCUUGUUAAUUAAUGUACUUACUUGAUUUUGGUAUUAUUUCCAUUAUCACCGGUCCUUCUGAAUUGUAUUCCUUGAUAUUUUGUACUCUAAGCUGUUUGCUUCAUGCGGGCAUUCCCCUUGCUUUUCACUUUCUGCACAUGCCUGCCUUGAUUCUUGAUAUAUCCCUUGAGGUCUUGGUUCAGAUGUUUCCUCAAUUAAUAAAUAUUUAGAAU